CCAUGCCGCGUGUGUGAAGAAGGCCUUCGGGUUGUAAAGCACUUUCAGCGAGGAGGAAAGGUUGGUAGCUAAUAACUGCCAGCUGUGACGUUACUCGCAAAGAAGCACCGGCUAACUCCGUGCCAGCAGCCGCGGUAAUACGGAGGGUGCAAGCGUUAAUCGGAAUUACUGGGCGUAAAGCGCACCCCCGGGAUUUGAUAAUUUAGAUUGGAACCCCCCGGGGUCCCCCGGGGGAUUUGCUUUAAUUCUGGUCCG
RNAcentral lists this ribosomal RNA (255 nucleotides) under Aeromonas veronii. Its description in RNAcentral is "partial 16S ribosomal RNA". It matches the Rfam family "Bacterial small subunit ribosomal RNA", at positions 392 to 644 of the family's 1533-position model. The record is from RNAcentral. Lineage: Bacteria; Pseudomonadati; Pseudomonadota; Gammaproteobacteria; Aeromonadales; Aeromonadaceae.